UAGGGAAUCUUCGGCAAUGGACGGAAGUCUGACCGAGCAACGCCGCGUGAGUGAAGAAGGUUUUCGGAUCGUAAAGCUCUGUUGUUAGAGAAGAACGUUGGUAGGAGUGGAAAAUCUACCAAGUGACGGUAACUAACCAGAAAGGGACGGCUAACUACGUGCCAGCAGCCGCGGUAAUACGUAGGUCCCGAGCGUUGUCCGGAUUUAUUGGGCGUAAAGCGAGCGCAGUCGGUUCUUUAAGUCUGAAGUUAAAGGCAGUGGCUUAACCAUUGUACGCUUUGGAAACUGGAGGACUUGAGUGCAGAAGGGGAGGGUGAAAUUCCAUGUGUAGCGGUGAAAUGCGUAGAUAUAUGAAGGAACACCGGUGGCGAAAGCGGCUCUCUGGUCUGUAACUGACGCUGAGGCUCGAAAGCGUGGGGAGCAAACGGA
This 429-nucleotide ribosomal RNA is filed under the name Bacillota bacterium. RNAcentral describes it as "Firmicutes bacterium partial 16S ribosomal RNA". It matches the Rfam family "Bacterial small subunit ribosomal RNA", at positions 355 to 776 of the family's 1533-position model. Lineage: Bacteria; Bacillati; Bacillota. The record is from RNAcentral.